GAUCCUGGCUCAGAAUCAACGCUGGCGGCGCGCUUAACACAUGCAAGUCGAACGAGAAAGCCCGCAAGGGUGAGUAAAGUGGCGUACGGGUGAGUAACACGUGGGUAAUCUACCUCUGGGUGGGGAAUAACCCUGGGAAACCGGGGCUAAUACCGCAUAACACUGCAAGGUCAAAGGCGCAAGUCGCCUGGAGAGGAGCCCGCGGCUGAUUAGCUAGUUGGUGGGGUAAAGGCUCACCAAGGCUAUGAUCGGUAGCCGGCCUGAGAGGGCACACGGCCACACUGGCACUGAAACACGGGCCAGACUCCUACGGGAGGCAGCAGUGGGGAAUCUUGCACAAUGGGGGAAACCCUGAUGCAGCGACGCCGCGUGAGCGAUGAAGCCCUUCGGGGUGUAAAGCUCUUUCGGCAGGGACGAUAAUGACGGUACCUGAAGAAGAAGCUGCGGCUAACUACGUGCCAGCAGCCGCGGUAAUACGUAGGCAGCGAGCGUUGUUCGGAGUUACUGGGCGUAAAGAGUGCGUAGGCGGUUUUCUAAGUUUGGUGUGAAAUCUCCCGGCUUAACUGGGAGGGUGCGCCGAAGACUGGAAGGCUUGAGUAUGGGAGAGGUAAGCGGAAUUCCUGGUGUAGCGGUGAAAUGCGUAGAUAUCAGGAGGAACACCUGCGGUGUAGACGGCUUACUGGACCAUAACUGACGCUGAGGCACGAAAGCGUGGGUAGCAAACAG
This 726-nucleotide ribosomal RNA is filed under the name uncultured Acidobacteriota bacterium. RNAcentral's name for it is "bacterial SSU rRNA". It matches the Rfam family "Bacterial small subunit ribosomal RNA", at positions 15 to 775 of the family's 1533-position model. Lineage: Bacteria; Pseudomonadati; Acidobacteriota. The record is from RNAcentral.